AUACGUAGGGUGCGAGCGUUGUCCGGAAUUACUGGGCGUAAAGAGCUCGUAGGUGGUUUGUCGCGUCGUCUGUGAAAUUCCGGGGCUUAACUCCGGGCGUGCAGGCGAUACGGGCAUAACUUGAGUACUGUAGGGGAGACUGGAAUUCAUGGGGUAGCGGUGAAAUGCGCAGAUAUCAGGAGGAACACCGGUGGCGAAGGCGGGUCUCUGGGCAGUAACUGACGCUGAGGAGCGAAAGCAUGGGUAGCGAACAGGAUUAGAUACCCUGGUAGUCCAUGCCGUAAACGGUGGGCGCUAGGUGUAGGGGUCUUCCACGACUUCUGUGCCGUAGCUAACGCAUUAAGCGCACCGCCUGGGGAGUACGGCCGCAAGGCUAAAACUCAAAUGAAUUGACGGGG
RNAcentral lists this ribosomal RNA (398 nucleotides) under uncultured bacterium. RNAcentral describes it as "partial 16S ribosomal RNA". It matches the Rfam family "Bacterial small subunit ribosomal RNA", at positions 523 to 918 of the family's 1533-position model. The record is from RNAcentral.